Molecule: long non-coding RNA, 3489 nt
Organism: Leucoraja erinaceus (little skate)
Lineage: Eukaryota; Metazoa; Chordata; Chondrichthyes; Rajiformes; Rajidae
Exons: 3
Source: RefSeq, a predicted model, not a curated record
CACCUGCACGCCGGUGUAGUUCUCGAAGAAGAAGAGCACGACACUCUGGUAGACGGUGUAGAGGCCGUCGUCCACGGGGUGGUAGAGGCGCCGGGGCAGCAGCAGCGCCAGCAGCCGCCACGCCGCCCAGCCCAACAGAUGGAAUGAAUCUUAAAUGUUUGAAAGAAGCCAAGAGAGAGAUUAGAGAGGAAUUGUUCGAAUCAUCAACACUCACUGAUGGGGCUCUUUCUGCUGCGCACGGCCUUCUGGCCUAACAGCUUGGAUUGGUGCGGCCGAUCCGGACUCUGGCCCAGAGCUGCAGCAGUGGGUGCAGCGCGGACUUUCCAUCGCGGAGCCUGGGAUCCCUCGCUGGGGAUCGCCGGAGAAGAGCAUCGACUGCUGGCCUGCGGCCUAUAACAUCGUGAAGCCGCGGCCUCCGGUAGAAAGCGGCCGAUUCGGCAUCUCCAAGCCGCGGAGUGUCUGUCCGUCCCAACGUCGGAGUUUCGAACAUCCCGACGAGAGGGCCUGUACAUCGGGGCGUCUGUCGUGGCGACUGCGGAGGGUUCAUGGCCCCGACCACGGAUGAACAAAGGAGGAGAACUGAACGUUAUUCCCUUCCACUGUGAUUCCACUGUGGUGGAUGUUCAUGUUGUAUUCUAUUGUGUAUUGUGCUCUUUUUGAUUGUGUGGCUGCAUGGUAAAUCAAAUUCCACCUUAAAUGGUGCAUGUGGCAAUAAAUGUGAACUUCAACUUGAAAAAUCCCCAUUGACUUGGCCUCCACUGCCGUCUGUGGCAAUGAAUUCCACAGAUUCACCACCUGACUAACAAAAUUCCUCCUCACCUCCAUUCUAAAGGUACGUCCUUUUAUUCUGAGGCUGUGCCCUCUGGUCCUAGACUCUCCUAGUUACUGCAGUAGAAUUGGGUUACAUGGACUUCUAAAAGGUAUUGGAGUACCACCACACAAACAGAUUAUUAACCUGAAAGUCUGUUAAGAAAUUGGCCAUUGAAUAUAAAACUGCCUCACUGACAGUUAAUCCAGUGACGGCUGAGAAAGGAAGUCAUAGUCAAAUUGACAAGGCAUGGAAAGAGGCCCUUUGGCCCAACUUGUCCACGUCCUGUCUCAGAUGCCAGCUUUAGGUUUAUUAUUAUUGUCACGUGAAAUCAGAUCAGAUUUAAACUUUAGACUUUAGAGAUACAGUGCGGAAACAGGCCCUUCGGCCCACCGAGUCCGCACUGAUCAAUGAUCACCGCAUACACGAGCGCCAUCCUACACACACUAGGGACAAUUUAAUUUUUUUUUUACCAAAGCCAAUUAACCUACAUACCUGGACAUCUUUGAACAAACCAGAGCACCUGGGGAAAACCCACGUGGUCACAGCGAAAACGUACAAACUCCAUACAGACAGCACCCAGAGUCAGGAUCAAACCUGGGUACUUAGUGCUGUGAGGCAGCAGCACUACCGCUGCGCCACCGUGCCAUCCUACUUGAUAAUACUAUACGUCAAUACCAUCAAAUCAAAUUACAGUUCUAGAAACACAGUCCAAUGUCCGCAAAUGGGAUUGAGGUGAAUCAGACAGUACCCUAGCUUACGGAAGGAGUGUUCAGAAUCCUGAUAACAAAGGGGAAGAAGCUGUUUUUGAGAACAGGUGAGAACUGCUUUUUGCAUUAUUGUGUUAUUAAUGUAUUUUUUUUGUUUAUACAUUAACAUUGUGCAUUGCAUUCACAAGCCCGUUAUGCUCCUGUAACUCUAGAGGUCUUCAUAUAACUGAUUGCACCCUUCACAUAACAAUAUGAGUAGUUGUGCCUUUAGCUGCAUCUAACUUGCAAUAAUUCUUUCCUGAAAACCUUUCACCUCCCUCUCUCUUUUUGGAUCUUACACCCUUCAUAAUUCCACCAUAUAAUCCAUCUUCGAAAUGAUUUAAAUCCCCAGUACUUCACUGGAUCCAGCUUUGUUAGUGCCUGAUUGUACACUGUUUUUUUCUACACAAUAGUAUCACGCAGAUGCAAGCUGCCAUUGAGAACAUUAAUUAGAGCUGAGAUUAAGAGAGCCCACAGGGUUGCAAAAAGGUCAAAUUAUAUUUUAUUCGAUUUCUGCGCUGAAAGCGUCAAUGUAACUUCUUGUAAGAGAACAGAGGGAGAGAAUAGAACAUUUGUGUUUAGUUUAGUUUAGAGAUACAGCAUGGUAACAGACCCUUCGGCCCAUCGAGUCUGUGCUGACCAGCGACCACCCGUUCACUCGUUCUGUCCUACACAACAGAGACAAUUUACAGAGACCAAUUAACUUAAAAACCUGCGCGUCUUUGGAGUGUGGGAGGAAACCGGAGCAUCCGGAAAAAACCCAUGCAGUCACGGGGAGAAUGUGCAAACUCCGUACAGAAAGCACCCGUAGUUGGGAUCAAACCCGGGUCUCUGGCACUGCGAGACAGCAACUCUACCACUGCGCCACUGUGCCAUAUAAAAUGUCCUUCAAAAAUGGUGGUAGGAAUUUUCUCAGAGGUAAUUUAUUAAUAAUGAAAACUAAUGAAUAUUCGACGAACCUAAUGACUUCCAUGUUGUAAAGUUCUAUGAUUUAAUGAAUUUAGAAUUUGCUUUCACGAUUAAUCAUGAGAUGUCCGUGCAAUAACAUAAAUUGCUUCAUUAUUUUGGAUGCAAUAACAUUUGUAUUUUUAGAUUAAACAUGAAAUGCAAAACUUUUUUUUAACAUCGAAUGUUCUCGGCGAUGAGUGAGUUCUGUGACUGGGUCACUGGAGGUGACUUGUAAAGCAGAUGCAAAAAUGGGGAUUUCGUCCAAAACAACAUAUUUCUAAAAUUGAAAACAACAAGUAAAACUUUGCUUGUGGGUGGAUGGGUCAAGGGGGACUUUGAAUUCUCACAACAUUUUAGGCAGUCAGAAAACUCUCUUUAAACCAUGCUGUUAUGCACUUUAUAAUUGCUUUAUCAAUCUUUAAAGAAAUGUUUUUGGGGCACUAGUUUCUCAUGAUGGUUUUAUGGUCCACAUCUCCCAGGCUCACACGCUGUAAAAUGCACUACUUUGACAGAAAGCAAUGGAAGAAAAUACAGUGUAUGGCCCUCUUUUCCCACAUACUGUAACAAUCUGAAAUGUCGACAGGCAAUAUAUUAACAGAAUAACCUAUCAUCAGAAUUUUAACAAUACAGGGCCGGCCACACAAACGAAUGCAUUGGUAAAGUGUAUCAGUGAUAUUGUGGAUACCAGAGAGGAAAACGUAUGGAAGUUGAAACAAAAAAAGGUUGAACCUGACAUUGUUUCCAAAAUGUAUCAUAUAAAAUGUAGAUGACUGACAUAUACAAAUGUAUGGUGCGAUUGCUGUGCAACUUUGUAUUGCCGAGGUGUUGCAAGACUUAAGGGCCUGUCCCACUUGGGCGAUCUAAUCCGUGAGUCCAGAAGAGUGCCUUCGACCUUCAAGCUCGAGGGCACUCGCUGGAAAGCCUCGAGCUGGAUCGACCGGCCGCGUUGAAACCGCGAGCUGGAUCGACCGAACCGCGAGCUGC